UUAAGUGACUAAGCGUAUACGGUGGAUGCCUUGGCAGUCAGAGGCGAUGAAGGACGUAGUAACUUGCGAUAAGCGUUGGCGAGCUAGUAACAAGCAUUUGAGCUAACGAUUUCCGAAUGGGGAAACCCACAUGCAUAAGCAUGUAUCACAACAUGAAUACAUAGUGUUGUGAGGCAAACCCGGGGAACUGAAACAUCUAAGUACCCGGAGGAAAAGAAAUCAACCGAGAUUCCCCUAGUAGCGGCGAGCGAACGGGGAUUAGCCCUUAAGCGUAGAGGGUGUUAGUGGAAUGUGUUGGAAAGCACAGCGGCACAGGGUGAUAGCCCCGUACAUGAAAACUAACUUUACGUGAAAACGAGUAGGACGGGACACGUGACAUCUUGUCUGAACAUGGGGGGACCAUCCUCCAAGGCUAAAUACUCCUGACUGACCGAUAGUGAACCAGUACCGUGAGGGAAAGGCGAAAAGAACCCCUGUGAGGGGAGUGAAAUAGAACCUGAAACCGUAUACGUACAAGCAGUGGGAGCGGUUCUUGAGACCGUGACUGCGUACCUUUUGUAUAAUGGGUCAGCGACUUACAUUUUGUAGCGAGGUUAAGCGAAUAGCGGAGCCGUAGGGAAACCGAGUGUUAACUGCGCGUUUAGUUGCAAGGUGUAGACCCGAAACCCGGUGAUCUAUCCAUGGGCAGGUUGAAGAUUGAGUAACAUCAAUUGGAGGACCGAACCGACUUAUGUUGAAAAAUGAGCGGAUGACUUGUGGAUGGGGGUGAAAGGCCAAUCAAACCGGGAGAUAUCUGGUUCUCCUCGAAAGCUAUUUAGGUAGCGCCUCGAGCGAAUACCAUUGGGGGUAGAGCACUGUUAAGGCUAGGGGGUCAUCCCGACUUACCAACCCUUUGCAAACUCCGAAUACCAAUGAGUACUACUCGGGAGACACACGGCGGGUGCUAACGUCCGUCGUGAAAAGGGAAACAACCCAGACCGUCAGCUAAGGUCCCAAAGUUAUUGCUAAGUGGGAAACGAUGUGGGAAGGCUUAGACAGCUAGGAUGUUGGCUUAGAAGCAGCCAUCAUUUAAAGAAAGCGUAAUAGCUCACUAGUCGAGUCGGCCUGCGCGGAAGAUUUAACGGGGCUAAGCAAUACACCGAAGCUACGGGUGUGCACUUUAGGGUGUACGCGGUAGAGGAGCGUUCUGUAAGCCGUUGAAGGUGAAGGGGUAACCCACGCUGGAGGUAUCAGAAGUGCGAAUGCUGACAUGAGUAACGAUAAAGGGAGUGAAAAACUCCCUCGCCGAAAGACCAAGGGUUCCUGUCCAAUGUUAAUCAGGGCAGGGUGAGUCGACCCCUAAGGCGAGGCCGAAAGGCGUAGUCGAUGGGAAAUGGGUUAAUAUUCCCAUACUUCUGCUAACUGCGAUGGAGAGACGGAGAAGGCUAGGCUAGCGCGGCGUUGGUAGUCCGCGUUUAAGGUGGUAGGCAGUAAACUUAGGCAAAUCCGGGUUUACGCAUUUAAUUGCAAUGCUGAGAGCUGAUGACGAGUCACUAAGGUGAUGAAGUAGUUGAUGCCAUGCUUCCAGGAAAAUCUUCUAAGCUUCAGGUUAGUAGGAAUCGUACCCCAAACCGACACAGGUGGUUGGGUAGAGAAUACCAAGGCGCUUGAGAGAACUCGGCUGAAGGAACUAGGCAAAAUGGUACCGUAACUUCGGGAGAAGGUACGCUCCCGACGGUGAUGAGACUUGCUCUCUAAGCUGUUGGGAGUCGCAGAUACCAGGUGGCUGCAACUGUUUAUCAAAAACACAGUACUGUGCAAACUCGCAAGAGGAAGUAUACGGUAUGACGCCUGCCCGGUGCCGGAAGGUUAAUUGAUUGGGUUAUCUUCGGAGAAGCUCAUGAUCGAAGCCCCGGUAAACGGCGGCCGUAACUAUAACGGUCCUAAGGUAGCGAAAUUCCUUGUCGGGU
Molecule: ribosomal RNA, 1949 nt
Filed under: seawater metagenome
Description: bacterial LSU rRNA
Rfam family: Bacterial large subunit ribosomal RNA
Source: RNAcentral